GCCUCGGUGGUUUAGUGGUACAGCACGCGUCCCUGGUAUGGAUGGAACACGAGUUCGAUUCCCGCCUGAGGUC
Non-coding RNA from Parelaphostrongylus tenuis, 73 nucleotides. The record is from the annotation of a GenBank genome assembly. NCBI's taxonomy places the organism in Eukaryota, Metazoa, Nematoda, Chromadorea, Rhabditida, Metastrongylidae.